Molecule: small nuclear RNA, 102 nt
Filed under: Cervus hanglu yarkandensis (Yarkand deer)
Lineage: Eukaryota; Metazoa; Chordata; Mammalia; Artiodactyla; Cervidae
Source: RNAcentral
AGCACAUAUACUCUUAAAAAAAAAAAUAGAACGACACAGUGAAGAUUAGCAUGGCCCCUGUGCAAGGAUGACAUGCAAAUUUGUGACUAGUUCCAUAUUUAA